AACGAUAGCACGGGGUGCCUGCAAAGGCUGAGAUUAUACCCGCUACCUGAUUUGGAUAAUGCCAACGUAGGGAUGCACUUAAGAGCGAUA
This 90-nucleotide non-coding RNA is filed under the name Flavobacterium akiainvivens. RNAcentral's name for it is "TPP sequence". It matches the Rfam family "TPP riboswitch aptamer (THI element)". Rfam says of the family: Vitamin B(1) in its active form thiamin pyrophosphate (TPP) is an essential coenzyme that is synthesised by coupling of pyrimidine and thiazole moieties in bacteria. The previously detected thiamin-regulatory element, thi box was extended, resulting in a new, highly conserved RNA secondary structure, the THI element, which is widely distributed in eubacteria and also occurs in some archaea. Analysis of operon structures identified a large number of new candidate thiamin-regulated genes, mostly transporters, in various prokaryotic organisms. The record is from Rfam by way of RNAcentral. Lineage: Bacteria; Pseudomonadati; Bacteroidota; Flavobacteriia; Flavobacteriales; Flavobacteriaceae.